RNAcentral lists this ribosomal RNA (329 nucleotides) under uncultured bacterium. RNAcentral's name for it is "bacterial SSU rRNA". It matches the Rfam family "Bacterial small subunit ribosomal RNA", at positions 568 to 898 of the family's 1533-position model. The record is from RNAcentral.
UGUGCAGGCGGCUUUUAAGUUUGGUGUGAAAUCUCCCGGCUCAACUGGGAGGGUGCGCCGAAUACUGAAAGGCUCGAGUGCGGGAGAGGAGAGUGGAAUUCCUGGUGUAGCGGUGAAAUGCGUAGAUAUCAGGAGGAACACCGGCGGUGUAGACGGCUCUCUGGACCGUAACUGACGCUGAGACACGAAAGCGUGGGUAGCAAACAGGAUUAGAUACCCUGGUAGUCCACGCCCUAAACGAUGCACAUUUGGUAUGGGUCAUUCAGUUGAUCCGUGCCGGAGCUAACGCGUUAAAUGUGCCGCCUGGGGAGUACAGUCGCAAGGCUGAA